Molecule: small nuclear RNA, 107 nt
Filed under: Mustela putorius furo (domestic ferret)
Lineage: Eukaryota; Metazoa; Chordata; Mammalia; Carnivora; Mustelidae
Source: RNAcentral
GUGCUUGCUUCGGCAGCAUAUAUACUAAAAUUGGAACGAUAGAGAGAAGAUUAGCAUGGCCCCUGCAUAAGGAUGACAUGCAAAUUCGUAAAGUGUUCCAUAUUUAA